AUACGGAGGGGGUUAGCGUUGUUCGGAAUUACUGGGCGUAAAGCGUCCGCAGGCGGCCCUUCAAGUCUGCUGUUAAAACGUGGAGCUUAACUCCAUCAUGGCAGUGGAAACUGUUGGGCUUGAGUGUGGUAGGGGCAGAGGGAAUUCCCGGUGUAGCGGUGAAAUGCGUAGAUAUCGGGAAGAACACCAGUGGCGAAGGCGCUCUGCUGGGCCAUAACUGACGCUCAGUGGACGAAAGCCAGGGGAGCGAAAGGGAUUAGAUACCCUGGUAAGUCCACGCCGUAAACGAUUGAUACGUAGCUGUUCGGCCAACAAGUGGUUGGUUGAGUGGCUAAGCGAAAGUGAUAAGGUAUCCCACCUGGGGAGUACGACUCGACAAGAGUGGAAACCUCAAAGGAAUUGACGGGGCCCGCACAAGCGG
Molecule: ribosomal RNA, 421 nt
Filed under: uncultured bacterium
Lineage: Bacteria
Description: bacterial SSU rRNA
Rfam family: Bacterial small subunit ribosomal RNA
Source: RNAcentral